RNAcentral lists this long non-coding RNA (383 nucleotides) under Sus scrofa (pig). RNAcentral describes it as "lncRNA (ENSSSCG00035073981.1)". Lineage: Eukaryota; Metazoa; Chordata; Mammalia; Artiodactyla; Suidae. The record is from RNAcentral.
CUAAUCCUCAGGCCAGAACAGCUCCACCUGCUAGUUUAUUAAAGUGAAACAUCUGCCCUGGUGCAGGUCGUUAACCUGAGGGGCUGGGCGGGGCUGCUGGUUCCCCUGGUAACUGACGAGCCAGCAUGACGUCAGUUCCCCUAAAAAGGCAGCCUCCUUCUCCCCGCCCAGGAGUGAAGAUGGCGGCUGUGUUCUGUUCUCUGGCCACUGCACACAAGGGGCUGGUGCUCCAAGACUUUGCUUCACACAUUGGGAGCCCUGGGCACAAUUUGACUGCUUUUUCACUUUUGGGAAGUGAAGUCCCAGCGCACAGCCCACCCAGGGGCAUCUGUGAUGCACACCAUCUCCCUUUGUGCCCUGGUUCUGCAUGCCUCCCACUGUGA